UGGGGAAUAUUGCACAAUGGGCGAAAGCCUGAUGCAGCAACGCCGCGUGAGUGAUGAAGGCCUUCGGGUUGUAAAGCUCUGUCUUUUGGGACGAUAAUGACGGUACCAAAGGAGGAAGCCACGGCUAACUACGUGCCAGCAGCCGCGGUAAUACGUAGGUGGCAAGCGUUGUCCGGAUUUACUGGGCGUAAAGGAUGCGUAGGCGGAUUUUUAAGUGAGAUGUGAAAUACCCGGGCUUAACUUGGGUGCUGCAUUUCAAACUGGGAAUCUAGAGUGCGGGAGAGGAGAAUGGAAUUCCUAGUGUAGCGGUGAAAUGCGUAGAGAUUAGGAAGAACACCAGUGGCGAAGGCGAUUCUCUGGACCGUAACUGACGCUGAGGCAUGAAAGCGUGGGUAGCAAACAGGAUUAGAUACCCUGGUAGUCCACGCCGUAAACGAUGAGUACUAGGUGUAGGAGGUAUCGACCCCUUCUGUGCCGCAGUUAACACAAUAAGUACUCCGCCUGGGAAGUACGAUCGCAAGAUUAAAACUCAAAGAAUUGACGGGGUCAUAGCUG
RNAcentral lists this ribosomal RNA (555 nucleotides) under uncultured bacterium. RNAcentral describes it as "partial 16S ribosomal RNA". It matches the Rfam family "Bacterial small subunit ribosomal RNA", at positions 355 to 932 of the family's 1533-position model. The record is from RNAcentral.